AAUAGAUACCCAGGUAGUCCACGCCCUAAACGAUGCUCACUAGGUGUUGGGGAAGCGAUUCCUUGGUACCGUAGCUAACGCGUGAAGUGAGCCGCCUGGGGAGUACGGCCGCAAGGUUAAAACUCAAAGGAAUUGACGGGGACCCGCACAAGCGGUGGAUGAUGUGGAUUAAUUCGAUGCAACGCGAACAACCUUACCUACCCUUGACAUGUCCGGAAGCCUGCUGAAAGGCGGGGGUGCUCGAAAGAGAACCGGAACACAGGUGCUGCAUGGCUGUCGUCAGCUCGUGUCGUGAGAUGUUGGGUUAAGUCCCGCAACGAGCGCAACCCUUGUCCCUAGUUGCUACGCAAGGGCACUCUAGGGAGACUGCCGGUGACAAACCGGAGGAAGGUGGGGAUGACGUCAAGUCCUCAUGGCCCUUAUGGGUAGGGCUUCACACGUCAUACAAUGGACGGUACAGAGGGUUGCCAACCCGCGAGGGGGAGCCAAUCCCAGAAAGCCGUUCGUAGUCCGGAUCGCAGUCUGCAACUCGACUGCGUG
This 540-nucleotide ribosomal RNA is filed under the name uncultured bacterium. RNAcentral describes it as "bacterial SSU rRNA". It matches the Rfam family "Bacterial small subunit ribosomal RNA", at positions 777 to 1322 of the family's 1533-position model. The record is from RNAcentral.